UGACUCAUACAAUUGCACCAACGUUGUCGCUGAAGAUGUUGUUCGCAAGUUGGUUUUAAAGGCGGAACCUCAUCUGAAACCCUACAAGGUUGCAUGGGUGAACAACACAAAUCUCAAGGUUCAUGAAAGGUGUUUGCUCACAUAUUCAAUUGGUGGACUGAUUGAUCAGGUGCAGUAUGAUGUCCUCCCAUUUGGAAGUCUGCCACAUUCUUUUGGGACACCCAUGGUUGUAUGACAAGAAAGCCAAGCACUGUGGUUAUGAGAAUACAUAUUCCUUUCAGCAUGGUGGACUUGAGAUGAAAUUCCUCCCAGCGAAGGAUCUUCCAUCUAUCAAACUCAAGAACACAGUUGAUAUAUGUUUCCUCAAG
Molecule: long non-coding RNA, 368 nt
Organism: Telopea speciosissima
Lineage: Eukaryota; Viridiplantae; Streptophyta; Magnoliopsida; Proteales; Proteaceae
Exons: 3
Source: RefSeq, a predicted model, not a curated record